GGAGUUGGCCAGGCGACCGCGGGCGCGCGGCGACGAGCCCGCCGCUCGAGGAAAGUCCGGACUCCACAGGGCAGGACGCUGGGUAACGCCCAGGCGCCGUCAGGCGCGGAAAGGGCAACAGAGAGCAGACCGCCAAACGCCCCCUGUCGCCGACAGGGUGCGUGGCAAGGGUGAAAGGGUGCGGUAAGAGCGCACCGGCACCGGCGGCAACGCCGGUGGCCAGGUAACCCCCGUCCGGAGCAAGGCCAAGUCGGCGCGCGAUGAGGUGGCCCGCCCACGCGCCAGGUAGGCCGCUGGAGGCCGUCGGCGACGGCGGUCCCAGAUGGAUGGUCGCCGCCCGCCCUUCGCGGCGGGCACAGAAUCCGGCUUAUCGGCCGACUCCCCGG
This 386-nucleotide RNase P RNA is filed under the name Actinobacteria bacterium QS_8_72_14. RNAcentral describes it as "RNase P RNA component class A". It matches the Rfam family "Bacterial RNase P class A". From Rfam's summary of the family: Ribonuclease P (RNase P) is a ubiquitous endoribonuclease, found in archaea, bacteria and eukarya as well as chloroplasts and mitochondria. The record is from RNAcentral. Lineage: Bacteria; Bacillati; Actinomycetota.